This 460-nucleotide ribosomal RNA is filed under the name uncultured bacterium. Its description in RNAcentral is "partial 16S ribosomal RNA". It matches the Rfam family "Bacterial small subunit ribosomal RNA", at positions 338 to 795 of the family's 1533-position model. The record is from RNAcentral.
CCUACGGGAGGCAGCAGUGAGGAAUAUUGGUCAAUGGACGAGAGUCUGAACCAGCCAAGUAGCGUGAAGGAUGACUGCCCUAUGGGUUGUAAACUUCUUUUAUAUGGGAAUAAAACGUUCCACGUGUGGGAUUUUGUAUGUACCAUAUGAAUAAGGAUCGGCUAACUCCGUGCCAGCAGCCGCGGUAAUACGGAGGAUCCGAGCGUUAUCCGGAUUUAUUGGGUUUAAAGGGAGCGCAGGUGGAUUGUUAAGUCAGUUGUGAAAGUUUGCGGCUCAACCGUAAAAUUGCAGUUGAAACUGGCAGUCUUGAGUACAGUAGAGGUGGGCGGAAUUCGUGGUGUAGCGGUGAAAUGCUUAGAUAUCACGAAGAACUCCGAUUGCGAAGGCAGUUCACUGGACUGCAACUGACACUGAGGCUCGAAAGUGUGGGUAUCAAACAGGAUUAGAUUCCCCAGUAGUC